UCCUCCUUUUUCUCUCUUUUCUUUGAAUCACUGGGCGUAAAGCGCACGUAGGCGGAUUGUUAAGUCAGGGGUGAAAUCCUGGAGCUCAACUCCAGAACUGCCUUUGAUACUGGCGAUCUUGAGUCCGGGAGAGGUGAGUGGAACUCCGAGUGUAGAGGUGAAAUUCGUAGAUAUUCGGAAGAACACCAGUGGCGAAGGCGGCUCACUGGCCCGGUACUGACGCUGAGGUGCGAAAGCGUGGGGAGCAAACAGG
Molecule: ribosomal RNA, 253 nt
Filed under: uncultured bacterium
Lineage: Bacteria
Description: partial 16S ribosomal RNA
Rfam family: Bacterial small subunit ribosomal RNA
Source: RNAcentral